Non-coding RNA from Mycena capillaripes, 89 nucleotides. The record is from the annotation of a GenBank genome assembly. Lineage: Eukaryota; Fungi; Basidiomycota; Agaricomycetes; Agaricales; Mycenaceae.
GGCUCGGUGGCGCAUGGCUGCGCAUCUACUGUUGUUAAUUUGGAAAAAGCCUCAUGCAGAAGAACCCUGUUCGAUUCGGGGCCGGGCCA